This 240-nucleotide long non-coding RNA is filed under the name Elaeis guineensis (African oil palm). Its description in RNAcentral is "long non-coding RNA (EGUI_LNC082086)". Lineage: Eukaryota; Viridiplantae; Streptophyta; Magnoliopsida; Arecales; Arecaceae. The record is from RNAcentral.
GGUGAGCACAAUUAUGAAGCAUUUCCAUUGCUUUAGGAUCCAUUUGAUUGAUGGAAAGUGAAGAGGGAAGAGGCAUUUCCUGAAAAGUGAAGAAAGAGCUCUUUGUUUGAUUGAAAUUUUAAGAGGAGAGGUUGUGAAAAAAGUACUUUCCAUAUUUUAUGAAAAGUAAAAGUGAUAGUACUUUUUUCUUUCCUAAAAUAUCCUUUUAAGGUUCAUAAUUAAAAUUUAAUAAAAUAUCAA